This 460-nucleotide ribosomal RNA is filed under the name uncultured bacterium. Its description in RNAcentral is "partial 16S ribosomal RNA". It matches the Rfam family "Bacterial small subunit ribosomal RNA", at positions 338 to 795 of the family's 1533-position model. The record is from RNAcentral.
CCUACGGGCGGCAGCAGUGAGGAAUAUUGGUCAAUGGACGCAAGUCUGAACCAGCCAAGUAGCGUGAAGGAUGACUGCCCUAUGGGUUGUAAACUUCUUUUAUAUGGGAAUAAAACGUUCCACGUGUGGGAUUUUGUAUGUACCAUAUGAAUAAGGAUCGGCUAACUCCGUGCCAGCAGCCGCGGUAAUACGGAGGAGCCGAGCGUUAUCCGGAUUUAUUGGGUUUAACGGGAGCGUAGGUGGAUUGUUAAGUCAGUUGUGAAAGUUUAGGGCUCAACCGUAAAAUUGCAGUUGAAACUGGCAGUCUUGAGUACAGUAGAGGUGGGCGGAAUUCGUGGUGUAGCGGUGAAAUGCUUAGAUAUCACGAAGAACUCCGAUGGCGAAGGCAGUUCACUGGACUGCAACUGACACUGAGGCUCGAAAGUGUGGGUAUCAAACAGGAUUAGAUACCCGGGUAGUC